Molecule: ribosomal RNA, 466 nt
Filed under: uncultured bacterium
Lineage: Bacteria
Description: partial 16S ribosomal RNA
Rfam family: Bacterial small subunit ribosomal RNA
Source: RNAcentral
ACGAACGCUGGCGGCGUGCUUAACACAUGCAAGUCGAACGGAAAGGCCUCAGCUUGCUGGGGUACUCGAGUGGCGAACGGGUGAGUAACACGUGGGUGAUCUGCCUUGCACUCUGGGAUAAGCUUGGGAAACUGGGUCUAAUACCGGAUAUGAACUGCCUUUAGUGUGGUGGUUGGAAAGUUUUUUCGGUGCAAGAUGAGCUCGCGGCCUAUCAGCUUGUUAGUGGGGUAAUGGCCUACCAAGGCGUCGACGGGUAGCCGGCCUGAGAGGGUGUACGGCCACAUUGGGACUGAGAUACGGCCCAGACGCCUACGGGAGGCAGCAGUGGGGAAUAUUGCACAAUGGGCGGAAGCCUGAUGCAGCGACGCCGCGUGGGGGAUGACGGCCUUCGGGUUGUAAACUCCUUUCGACAGGGACGAAGCUUUUUGUGACGGUACCUGUAGAAGAAGCACCGGCUAACUACGUG